CGUGUUGCAGCCAGUGAGCGGAACAUCUCUGUCACGGAACUGCCGUGCCAUUGGCUUCUCCCGGGAAGCCGCCGCCGACAGUCCGUGAGGCGACACACUGGGAGGGAUGGUCCCGGGCUGAGUCCACUGCGAGCCGGGCUCAGAGGCGCAGACCGUCGGAACAACGUGGCUCCGCUGCCUGCAGCCGCACUGGGUGACAUUUUGCACAUUUCAGUCGCCGACUCGAGACGCCUGACACCGGCUCACCUCAUGAUUUCAUCCUGAUAAAAAGCUCCCGCGAGGCACAGCAGUUUCUCCAUGGCGUCUCCACAACAGUCAAGGAUUCAGUCGUAUCUGGAGAAGAAUAAAAUCGGACCCUUGUUUGAGGAGUUGAUGACCAAAUUGAUAACUGAGACUCCCGACCAUCCAAUCCCUUUUCUCAUUGAUCACCUGCAGACCAAGCAAGACAGCCCGGGCAAGCUGCACAGAGCUCUGUCUGGCUCCGCAGCACUGUGGGCGCAGAGCUCCCCAGAAAGCAAAAACCCUCGAAGGGAAAACAGCAACUAUGAGAAGCCGUGGCAAAUCCAUCCAAAGAAACCGAAAAAGUCCAAGAGCGACCUGGCAGUUUCCUGUAUGUCCCCCCCGUCUCCAGAGUCCAAGUCCUUGCCUCGGUCAAUCGAGUGCCCGUCCUGGGACUGGAGGGAGAGCCGCGACUUUGACGAGCUCAACCACAUCCUGCAGGAGAGCAAGAAGCUGGGCAAGGCUCUGGAGAGUCUGUCACGCAGUAUCGCCAUCUCUGACGAGCUCGACCAGAACUUGGGCGGCUAUAACUCAGUGGUGCGCCCUCGGGUGGUGGGGGAGUGGGUCGGUCGGGAAGAAGAAGACGCAGACCCGCUGGCUUCUGAGAUGCUGCAGCCCCCCGUCCCUCGGGCUAAAACUGAAGUGUGCUGGAGUGGAGACAGCAGCCCUGCUGGGAGCCUGAAGGUGGAAACAAAGAGCAAAGGUUUAAAGGAGCAGCAGCAGCAUCACAAGAAGCUCCUGGCAGCCAUGUUGUCCCAGGACUCCUUUGAUUCACUGCACAGCCCUGCUCCCUCCGGCGCAGAGGAAGAGAUGGAGGACGAGGACGAUGCCAUGGAGCUUCUGGAGGACCUGGACGACCUGAGGAUGGAGGGCGUGACGGGUUUGGCUCCAUCCGGCAGUAAGUUCAGCCAGGGACGCAGCUCCUAUCAGGCUGAGCCGCAGGCCAAAGUCACACUCAACAUCUGCUCCAGGUGUGCCAGGCUGCAGGGCAACAGCCUAUCAGACGGCCGACCUGAAGAGGAGUACAGGACUCGCACAUCUGAGCAGGCCGUGCCUGACAUCUCCUCUCCACUCCCCGGGGUGGACGCAGUGGCGGGACGUUUGCAGGAAUGCGAGGCCUCGUCUCAGGUGUCAGGCUCUCGUCAGGCUGUCUGGGAGGCUGAUCUGAAGGCUGCGAGAGGCGGGAGCUGUGGGGGGCCGACGGGCCCGCUGCUGGGGGACGCCCUCUUCUCUCAAGAGCUGGAGAACAUGGGCAAACAGCUGGCGGAGGUUGAGAAGGACUUGGCCAAGCUGGCAGAAGUGGGGAAGAUGACCAGUCGGAGCUCCAAUAAUCCGCUCAGUCUGCUGCACACGCCGCUGCGCCACCGAACACUCCCCGACACGCUUCCUCUCACCAGCCUGCUCUCCAGACCCGGCUCUCCAGCCGGCAGCAUCUCAGGCAAGCCCUGCGGCGUGGGCCUCCCUCUGCUCAGCCCCAAGCCCACCUCCAUGACCAUGGGCCGAUCUCCAUCUCCCAGCAACUCCGGGAGCAGGACUCAAACCCCCAGGACGCCCAGCAGGCCGCUGACCCCCAACAGUUUACUGACGCGCUCCAGCUUUAACACUGGAUCUCAUAAAGAGGUGACCUUCAGGAGGUCGCGGAGCCGCCCUGUGACGCCCACGUGUCAGCCUGCACGCCCCCGAGCGCUGCUCACCCCCCCGGGGCUCAGCACCACAGACAGCCUCGGUGCCAGCCUGCGGGCUUAUCUGUCUGAGGAUGAGUUUUACCAGCAGCUCCAGGCCAUCCGACAGCCCUGGCAUGUUCCCAGUGACACAGACAGCGACAUCCUGGAGCCUCCGGAACAGGAUAACAGUGGUGCUCGAGAUGCCAAUAAGAGAUCUGUGUUUUCAGGCUAAGCGGAGGGCACGGUGGCUCUGAAAUGACUGGUGGAGGCCGGCCCUGUGUGCAGACGGGAGCGCCUGUUCCAUUAAGCCUUUAGUGACGAAGACCAGACUUUGAUCCAAUCAAACUAUUAUGCAAACCACUGGACAUUUUGAAUAUAAGUGUACAGAGUCAAUUAUUUUUAUACUUCAUGUGAAUGGGGGGGAAAAAAGAUUGUAUACUUUUUUCACAGAUAUUUCAUAAACAUUGUACUGUAACUAUGAUAAAAACGUCAAAAUAUAACUUGAGAGUAUGGAAUAUAACAUUUAUUUUUGUUUGCUCUAUAGCAUGCUGUUGCACUUCCAUGUGGGGUCCAGAGACUCUGUUAGGCCUCGUGCACAUUCACAUUGUGAGGGCAUUGUUAGGAAAGUGUUUGUUGAUAUGCACUGUUAAAAAAGAUGUAGUGAUUUUCAAAUAGCAAAUACGCAAGUAGUGGAGGGAAAACAAGGAAUGCUGUUAUAUCAAUUAAAAUGAUU
Cottoperca gobio is the source of this 2676-nucleotide RNA transcript. It is a transcript of the gene named chromosome 20 C8orf34 homolog, with no coding region annotated. The record is from RefSeq and is a predicted model, not a curated record. The transcript has 16 exons. NCBI's taxonomy places the organism in Eukaryota, Metazoa, Chordata, Actinopteri, Perciformes, Bovichtidae.